RNAcentral lists this ribosomal RNA (301 nucleotides) under uncultured bacterium. Its description in RNAcentral is "partial 16S ribosomal RNA". It matches the Rfam family "Bacterial small subunit ribosomal RNA", at positions 509 to 807 of the family's 1533-position model. The record is from RNAcentral.
CAGCCGCCGCGGUAAUACGUAGGUCCCGAGCGUUGUCCGGAUUUAUUGGGCGUAAAGCGAGCGCAGGCGGUUAGAUAAGUCUGAUGUGAAAGCCCCCGGCUCAACCGGGGAGGGUCAUUGGAAACUGGGAAACUUGGGUGCAGAAGAGGAGAGUGGAAUUCCACGUGUAGCGGUGAAAUGCGUAGAGAUGUGGAGGAACACCAGUGGCGAAGGCGACUCUCUGGUCUGUAACUGACGCUGAGGAGCGAAAGCGUGGGGAGCGAACAGGAUUAGAUACCCCAGUAGUCCCUGUCUCUUAUAC